UCUGAAGUUUAAUUUGGUACCAAAAUCAUUUUUCGGAAACGCCAUUUACCCGGUCGCAUUUAUUUCUGAAAAUUGCAAUUUUCGGAAAAUCCAAAGGUCACGCACGUUUCAGGCCGACCGCCAUUUUGAAAUUUAUGAUAACACAACACCGAUACAAAAUAUCGUUAAAAAUCAAUAAAUCUGUUCAUUAAAAAAACAGGAAAACGAUUAAAAAUGAAAUGAAUGUUAAAUCAUAACAUUUGGUCAGCUAUGACAGAGAUAUACCUAGGCCCAUUUUGUGAUUGUGAUGCACACAGUACUAUCACAAAGUUAUAGACUGGACGUAUCAAGAAAACAAUCAAACCAUUAUUAAACAGCAUUAUGAUUGAAAUAAAACCAUUUUGUCAAGACACCGGGGUUCAAAUAAAGUGAUUUGUUUAAUGUCUUUGUGCAUUCAAAUCAGUGUCAAUAAGACUGACAACUGGUACCCUGGCUUUGGAGAAAGUUGUGAAUGAUUCUACAGCGGUUGUCAAGUUCAUGACUCACUGUUGUAAGCUGGCCACUGAGAGAAGAUAAGCAAGUUAUAAACAUUUAGUUCGUGAUUGGCCAGAAAUUGGUGCCAGACUGUAUAAAUGCGGUUAGAUGAUGCCAUCAUGGUGAACAUAAGCACUUACAUACGGUAUUCAGCCAGUUCAGCAGUGACUUUUUCCGUUAACGUUAACCACACUACCAGUAGAAGUUGAAUUCAAAACUGACAUUUUUCAUUUCACUUUUAAUUAGUUCAAUGACACUCUUGGGUCUAGUAAAUAUGUAUCAUAGUUUUUAUGAGCAACUUGAAAUGAAUAAUUGCAGGUGGAAAUAAUUCUUUAUCAAGAGUAAAACUAUUUAAAUUAAUGGUAGAUAAUUUUAGCAAGUCGUAGCAGUCUAAUAGUGAAAAAAUAUUCAACAGAAAAAUAUGAAAUCAAUAUUAUUUGAAAAUAUUAUAUUUUAUUUAUAAACUUGUUCUAUGUAUAAUAAAUGUAUCUACACUGUCUUGUUCUGUAGUAAUAUUUAAAUAAAUCUGUUAAAGUGAUCAUGAAAAUGUAUGUGUAAGUGACAACUGAAAUUAUUUGAAAAUAAUGUAAAAACUUGAAAAAUAAAUUGCAUCAACCUGA
This is a long non-coding RNA of Mercenaria mercenaria, 1133 nucleotides long. RefSeq lists it as uncharacterized. NCBI's taxonomy places the organism in Eukaryota, Metazoa, Mollusca, Bivalvia, Venerida, Veneridae. The transcript is spliced from 2 exons. The record is from RefSeq and is a predicted model, not a curated record.